This 253-nucleotide ribosomal RNA is filed under the name uncultured prokaryote. Its description in RNAcentral is "partial 16S ribosomal RNA". It matches the Rfam family "Bacterial small subunit ribosomal RNA", at positions 525 to 777 of the family's 1533-position model. The record is from RNAcentral.
ACGUAGGGGGCGAGCGUUGUCCGAAGUUACUGGGCGUAAAGCGCGCGUAGGCGGGUUGGCAAGUCUGCUGUGAAAGCCCGGAGCUCAACUCCGGAGGGUCGGUGGAUACUGCCAGUCUUGAAGUGGCUAGGGGGAGAUGGAAUUACCGGUGUAGCGGUGAAAUGCGUAGAGAUCGGUAGGAACACCAGUGGCGAAGGCGGUCUCCUGGGGCCCACUUGACGCUGAGGCGCGAAAGCUGGGGGAGCAAACGGGA